CCUACGGGAGGCAGCAGUGAGGAAUAUUGGUCAAUGGACGAGAGUCUGAACCAGCCAAGUAGCGUGAAGGAUGACUGCCCUAUGGGUUGUAAACUUCUUUUAUAUGGGAAUAAAAUGUUCCACGUGUGGGAUUUUGUAUGUACCAUAUGAAUAAGGAUCGGCUAACUCCGUGCCAGCCGCCGCGGUAAUACGGAGGAUCCGAGCGUUAUCCGGAUUUAUUGGGUUUAAAGGGAGCGUAGGUGGAGUGUUAAGUCAGUUGUGAAAGUUUGCGGCUCAACCGUAAAAUUGCAGUUGAAACUGGCAGUCUUGAGUACAGUAGAGGUGGGCGGAAUUCGUGGUGUAGCGGUGAAAUGCUUAGAUAUCACGAAGAACUCCGAUUGCGAAGGCAGCUCACUGGACUGCAACUGACACUGAGGCUCGAAAGUGUGGGUAUCAAACAGGAUUAGAUACCCCUGUAGUC
Molecule: ribosomal RNA, 460 nt
Filed under: uncultured bacterium
Lineage: Bacteria
Description: partial 16S ribosomal RNA
Rfam family: Bacterial small subunit ribosomal RNA
Source: RNAcentral